This is a long non-coding RNA of Olea europaea var. sylvestris, 872 nucleotides long. RefSeq lists it as uncharacterized. The transcript is spliced from 3 exons. The record is from RefSeq and is a predicted model, not a curated record. NCBI's taxonomy places the organism in Eukaryota, Viridiplantae, Streptophyta, Magnoliopsida, Lamiales, Oleaceae.
ACACGAACAGAAUUGAACCUACAGAAAGUGAACCGAAUGACGUGGCAGAUGGAAAAUAUUUAAGGCAAAAAAAAGAGAAAAACGCAAACACUCUGUUCACCGUCCCAAUUCAUUCCCGUUUCCCUCUCCAUUCGAAAAUUGGGAACCCUAGAAAUCAUCCCCUUCAUCCCGGCGUCGCCAUCAUUUUCAUCUUCCCGGCGAGUUGAAAUGUGCACAGAUAUUCGAACGUCGAACAGAGAGUGAUAUCGUCUCCUUGGACUUCACCACCGUACCCCGCAUACGGUGAAAUCGCCUCCUUCAUCUUCACCACCGUACGCCGUACCCUUCUCCACCGUCGGGCGUCGAGUCAGCCCUGAACAUCAAGAUGCCACAGUCAACUCCACUAGCAGCAUUCGACUAGCCCGCAUCAGCCGUAAGUGAGGAUGAGACGGAAGAACGUGGGUGUUUGUCACAGUUGUCGAAGUACACAGCACUUCUUCAAUGACUGUCCGGUAAAACGAGGAUGUCCAUGGUGCUCACUGGGAUGGGAGAAAUGCUUUGAAGUUGAAAGGAAGACAGAUAAUCGAGGACGAUUAUUCAAAACGUGCAGUAAUAAUUGUGGAUAUUUCUUUUGGGUCGAGAAUGAAGAAUUCUGUGGUGAAAGUAGUACAAGGACUGAAGCGGUCAUAGAUGAAGUGGGCGAAGAUUUGGCAGCCAUGUUCGAUAGUCUAGCUCAAAUAGCAGAAAAACGAGACGUCGAGAUAACGUUGAAUGUGACUUUCCGCAAGGCAAAGGGAAGUGCGGAAGUGAAUGGAAAGGGAAAGGGCCGAGCUUGAUAAGUAGCAGGAGAAUGUUAUGGCUUGUUUUUGUGUGUGUGUCGGCUGUAGAAUAAA